GGAGAGGUGCCAGAGUGGCCGAAUGGGACGGUCUCGAAAACCGUUGUGGGAGUAAUCUCACCGAGGGUUCGAAUCCCUCCCUCUCCG
RNAcentral lists this transfer RNA (87 nucleotides) under Celerinatantimonas diazotrophica. It matches the Rfam family "tRNA". Rfam says of the family: Transfer RNA (tRNA) molecules are approximately 80 nucleotides in length. Their secondary structure includes four short double-helical elements and three loops (D, anti-codon, and T loops). Further hydrogen bonds mediate the characteristic L-shaped molecular structure. tRNAs have two regions of fundamental functional importance: the anti-codon, which is responsible for specific mRNA codon recognition, and the 3' end, to which the tRNAs corresponding amino acid is attached (by aminoacyl-tRNA synthetases). tRNAs cope with the degeneracy of the genetic code in two manners: having more than one tRNA (with a specific anti-codon) for a particular amino acid; and 'wobble' base-pairing, i.e. permitting non-standard base-pairing at the 3rd anti-codon position. The record is from Rfam by way of RNAcentral. Lineage: Bacteria; Pseudomonadati; Pseudomonadota; Gammaproteobacteria; Celerinatantimonadaceae.